AAGUGUUUAGUAGGCUAAUUGAAAAAGUGUUUAGUAGGCUAACAAAAAAACUGUUACGGUGUUGAACUCUCGUUAGCCGUCGAUAUCGUUAAAAAAUAAUUUGUUUUAC
This 109-nucleotide small RNA is filed under the name Arabidopsis thaliana (thale cress). RNAcentral describes it as "ATSL285020". The record is from RNAcentral. Lineage: Eukaryota; Viridiplantae; Streptophyta; Magnoliopsida; Brassicales; Brassicaceae.